GACGAACGCUGGCGGCGUGCCUAAUACAUGCAAGUAGGACGCAGUUGCGAACGGGUGAGUAACGCGUAGGUAACUACCUAUUAGAGGGGGAUAACUAUUGGAAACGAUAGCCAAUACCGCAUACUAGUAGAUGGACCUGCGUUGUAUUAGCUAGUAGGUAGGGUAAUGGCCUAACGAGGCAACGAUACAUAGCCGACAUGAGAGGGGGAGUGGCCACACUGGGACUGAGACACGACCCAGAGUCCUACGGGAGGGAGAAGUAGGGAAUUUUCGGCAAUGGGAGGAAGCCUGACCGAGAAACGCCGCGUGAGUGAAGAAGGUUGUCGGAUCGUAAAGCUCUGUUGUUAAGGAAGCGGUACUUAACCAGAAAGGGACGGCUAACUACGUGCCAGCAGCCGCGGUAAUUC
RNAcentral lists this ribosomal RNA (407 nucleotides) under uncultured bacterium. RNAcentral describes it as "partial 16S ribosomal RNA". It matches the Rfam family "Bacterial small subunit ribosomal RNA", at positions 28 to 526 of the family's 1533-position model. The record is from RNAcentral.